Long non-coding RNA from Scylla paramamosain (green mud crab), 1310 nucleotides. RefSeq lists it as uncharacterized. The transcript has 4 exons. The record is from RefSeq and is a predicted model, not a curated record. NCBI's taxonomy places the organism in Eukaryota, Metazoa, Arthropoda, Malacostraca, Decapoda, Portunidae.
AAAAUAUCACGAAAUUUAGUUUGUGUAUUAUUGUUACUUACUUUUGAUUACUUUUUGUUAAUAUUACUGUUUGCAGUGCGCAUGUCGCGUUUUGUUUGUUUCUUACUUCACCCCGGCGCCAGCAGCCAGCACCCAGCAGCCGCCACGCAGGUCAGUUGUCUGUGGUGGCUGCUUCCGCCAGGGUGAGUGUGGUGUGGCGGCCGUGUGACAUGGCCCAUGCUGGUUCCCUGCUGUUCCUUGGUAUGUCAUGUAAAGUGGAGCUUUGUGUACAGGUGCAAUACAGACACGUGAUUUGUAGGUUGUAUUGUUUUGUUCCAUACGGCAGAUGCGGAUACGUGUUUGGUAUUGCUCCAGCCGUUCCGUGAAAAUUUGUUUGAUUGUUGUUCGCAGCUGUGGGUGGUCUGCUGCGUGUGUGUGUGUGUGUGUGUGUGUGUGUGUGUGUGUUAACACGUUGUGCCAGGCGCUGAGCUUGCGGGGAAGCUGUGUACCAUGCCUGUGUGAUGUGCCCAGGACUGUGGGCUAUUUACCGCAGCUUGGUCAAUAUUGCCUACCUUCAUGAUGGACAUGCGCGAGGUGUUAGGGGCGUCCAAGUGGAUCCUAGCAGCUGAUCUCCAGACGGUGACCUUGUCCAGUGACCAGCAGUGCGUGACCUUCGUGGUGCACUUCAUGGGCCCCAGCGCAGGUCGUCUUGAGCUGGACUUAUCCCGCGUGCUGGCUGGCCGCAAUCUGGACCCCCCCACCAUCAUCAUCAGGGGCGUGUCCUGACCCGGACCGCCCCAAGAAGCUGCCCUACAGGACCUGCGGGAGCCUGGAGGAGGAGACACUGCUGGAAGACCAACACCCCGUGGGAUCUCAAGGGCGGUGUUGCCGGAGCUGGCCUCGCCUCCGCCCUGCUGCUGCCUCUGCUUCACCUUAUCGCCUGCGAUAAACCCAUCAACAUCAAGGCAUCUUGGUUUUCGCGUCCAUCCCCGCCCCCCUUAGUUCCUCUCACCCUGCAUAGGGGGCCUGUACAUUAUGUAGAUAGGAGGCUAUAAUUGUGUGAAAUUAGAUAUAUUAUGCUAUAAUUGUGUGAAAUUAGAUAUAUUAUGCAAUAAUUAUCUUUAUGCAUAUAUAUAUAAAAUGCAAUAAUGUUCGUUAUGCAUAUAUACAAAAUACAAUAAUAGUGUUCGUUUCCCUUUCCUGGAUGUGAAUACGAUGCCAGCUGUGGGGAGUGGAUAGAGGUUGGCGAGUGCCAGAGUGUGGAAGCUUAAACUUUUCAACAAAACCAUUUUUACUCAAAACGUGCAGUUACUCGUUUCGCUUACAAAAUA